CGGGGCCGCGCUACUUUUGGAGGCUCCCCAGGAAAUAAAGCUUCCUCUGCCUGCUCCAGGGAGCAGAAGUGACUCACGAGGAGACUGACUCAUGAGAUCGAUGGGCGGGAGAGCUGGGGAGGCAGCUUUCAGCUUAAUGGGAACAAAUCUACAAUGAAACACAGAUUUUGUAUGUAUAUUUGCUGAUUUCUUGACUAAUGCAUACACUUGUAUAACCGAAACCUGUCUCAAGAUAUAGAACAUUCUCGUCACCCAUAAAGUUCCCGUGUGCCCCUUCGCAGUCAGUCCCAGCCCACCCAGAGGCAUCCAACACAUCAAUUGAAUUUCUUGCUCAUCCUUCAGUGAAGACUAUCAAAGAUACGUGGAUAAGAGGUGAUCUUUGAGAAGAAGCAGAAUGAUAUGUUUUCAUCUUGUUAUUCCUGAUUCCCAUUCUCUGGGUUUCUGGUCCCAAGUCAGCAGGGAGUCCUCUACACCUGGAACUGCCCAUUUCUGGAGAGGGGAGGAAACGUCAGGCUUGCUUGUGAAGAGCAUCUCAUCCUGAGUCCAACAGGAGGAAACCAAUCUCUCAGCACUCUCCUCCAAGCCAAGGACAAAUGACGUUCCCAACACACGUGCAUGAAGCCAGGGGGAUUAAUUGUGUAGCGCUGAAGGAAAAUUACAACUUUCCUAAGAAGCUUAAAAUACACAAAUUAAAUCUCGUCUGUGAUUAAAUCCUGGCUACUUCUCAUCCUGGUUUAUGUCUGUGGUUCUUGGGAAAUUAAAAAGUGUUUGCCCAACCACUGACUAUCGAUCAAGUUUUAAAGACUAAGAGGCACGGAGAGCUCUCGGAAAGAAGAACGUGACGUAAGACUGUGGGGUUCACAGAAGAAAGCCAACGUGACACGGUGGUGCUGAAGAGUGGGGAGGUGUUUGUGAAUAAAAGGAGGCCACCCAUCUCUGUAGGCUGAACUGAGCUGAGCUGACAUUGUCACUAAUAAAAUGCUGAGGAAACAUUUUAAUGCAAUAGGCUAUGUUCACUGGGGCUAAAAAUAAAUGCUUUCUGGUAUUCUGUAGUAACACCGAAAAUGACUUCACAGGUGUGAAACGUGGAGAAGAAUUUAGUUGCAUGUCUUGGUUUUUUCAGCCAUAAGCAAAAAGGCCUCCCCUUGUGUGGUGUCCUCUCUCGUCAGUGAUGUAACACCCAUACAACGUUGAACAGAAC
This is a long non-coding RNA of Equus quagga, 1201 nucleotides long. RefSeq lists it as uncharacterized. Lineage: Eukaryota; Metazoa; Chordata; Mammalia; Perissodactyla; Equidae. The record is from RefSeq and is a predicted model, not a curated record. The transcript has 4 exons.